GUCAUCCCAAUGGGUCAUCUCUUGGGGUCAUCCCAAUGGGUCAUCCCAAUGGGUCAUCUCUUGGGGUCAACCCAUGAGGUCACCCCAUAGGGUCAUCUCUUGGGGUCAACCCAUGAGGUCACCCCAUAGGGUCAUCCCAAGGGGUCAUCUCUUGGGGUCAUGCCAUGAGGUCACCCCAAUGGGUCAUCUCUUGGGGUCAACCCGUGAGGUCACCCCAUAGGGUCAUCUCUUGGGGUCAUGCCAUGAGGUCACCCCAAUGGGUCAUCUCUUGGGGGUCAACCCGUGAGGUCACCCCAUAGGGUCAUCCCAGUGGGUCAUCCCAAUGGGUCAUCUCUUGGGGUCAACCCAUGAGGUCACCCCAUAGGGUCAUCUCUUGGGGUCAACCCAUGAGGUCACCCCAUAGGGUCAUCCCAGUGGGUCAUCUCUUGGGGUCAUCCCACGGGGUCUUCUUGUGACCUCAUAGGGUUAUCCCAUGGGAUCAACUCAGGGUGAAACUAUAGGGCCAUCCUUUGGGGGUCACCCCAAAGGUUAUCCUACGGGGUCAUCUCAUGGGAUCGCCUCGUGGGGUCACCCCACAGAGUCAUCCCAGCGGUGUCACCCCAUGGCAGUGGCACCCACUGCCCCUCACGUGUUCCCACUGACCCCCCAGAGCCCCCUGGCCCCACUCACUCACCUGCUGUGGGUCGGACUCGGGGGGAUUGGCCCUAUAGGAGCUCAGCACCACCCCUCCUCCCGGCCCGGGGGGGUCCGCGCCCCCUCCAGCAGCGCCCGCAGCGCCCGUGGGAACAUUGGGGGCCCCACAGCUCCGCCCCACGGCUCAGCCCCACGGCGACGUCAUCCUGGGGGGGGUCUGGGGAAGGGGGGGGGGUCAGCUGCCCCAUAGCGCCCCCAUUCUGCCCCAUAGCGCCCCUCAGCGCACCCAGCGCUCCCAGUUCCUGCUCCCAGUUCCCGCCCCAUCGCUCCCAGCGCUCCCAGUUCCCCCUCCCAGUGCCCCAAUCCCCCCCCAGCCCCCC
Molecule: long non-coding RNA, 1013 nt
Filed under: Gallus gallus (chicken)
Lineage: Eukaryota; Metazoa; Chordata; Aves; Galliformes; Phasianidae
Description: lncRNA (ENSGALG00010003516.1)
Source: RNAcentral